GGCCCUUUAGCUCAGUGGUUAGAGCAGGCCUCAUAAUCGCUUGGUCGUUGGUUCAAACCCAACAGGGGACACCA
RNAcentral lists this transfer RNA (74 nucleotides) under Escherichia coli. RNAcentral describes it as "tRNA-Tyr". It matches the Rfam family "tRNA". From Rfam's summary of the family: Transfer RNA (tRNA) molecules are approximately 80 nucleotides in length. Lineage: Bacteria; Pseudomonadati; Pseudomonadota; Gammaproteobacteria; Enterobacterales; Enterobacteriaceae. The record is from RNAcentral.